GGAAGAGAUCCAAAGCUGACAAAACGAGGGUCUACGCAGAGUUUCUGUUUUUGUAAUACUUAUUGAUAAUACUGGGUCAACUUCUUUCAUUCUAUUUGAUCGCAUUGUAUAAUAGAGUUUGAGACGGUCUGCACCUUGGUGGAUGCCAUUGCUGAGCCUGGAAAUGAUGAAGAAGCUGACUAUAUUGAAGUUGUAUCUAAGCUGCUAGAUAGCCAUCCUUUGGAUGUGAGUGAAGGCGCUGAGUCAAACAACAAGGAUGAUAGUAUGGUGG
Molecule: long non-coding RNA, 271 nt
Filed under: Medicago truncatula (barrel medic)
Lineage: Eukaryota; Viridiplantae; Streptophyta; Magnoliopsida; Fabales; Fabaceae
Description: lncRNA gene46596
Source: RNAcentral